This is a non-coding RNA of Pelobates cultripes (western spadefoot toad), 642 nucleotides long. The record is from the annotation of a GenBank genome assembly. Lineage: Eukaryota; Metazoa; Chordata; Amphibia; Anura; Pelobatidae.
GUUAAAGAACCCCAGACCUCGACCCGUGAUAGAUCUGUUAAGUAGAUCUACUGAAGGGUUGACAAGGAAUAAACAAAUUUAUUCAUAAAAUAAACCUGGCUGCAUGAAGGGUAAUAGCUUUUGCCUGGCUAAAAAAAUAAAUAAAAAUUUUCAGGGGUGAUAAACCUGGUUCAGAGAGAUACACUGAUGACCUAACAGCUAGGGUGAGAAGCCACUAAAGCAUUUCAGAGUGUCUGGAAAGUCCUUUUGGAAGUGUGUGACAAAUUGUGUCAGUGUUACAAUCAUAUGUCCCCCACAUUUUAAAUAUGAUUAUGAAGUGUCUACAUUAAGUUGUAUAUUAUACUAUGCACUACAAAAAUAAAGAUACAUUUUUUUUAAAUGUGCAGAGUGGUGAAAUUCAGUUACAAUGCCAACACUUGCCAGUUGAGGACUACUUACACUGAUAAUACAUGUGCUCAUAGACCUUAUCACAGGGCUCAACCUUUGUGACUAUGGUCCUUCGCACAUUCUUCCUUCCAUUACGUGUUCACAAGCCUUUUAUAUAGUUAUAACCUUCACACAGCUCACAGAAACUGGAGUCCCGACAGGCAUUAGUCUCCUUAUAGACUUCAAGUAUGCACAGCUGUUUUAACCAAACUAAAC